GGAGGUACGACCAUCACCCGUCCCAUCCAUCUCCUCUGCUCCAAGAAGCAAACACCAAGAAACAAAGAGGGAGGGAGAGAGAGAGAUAGAGGGAGAGAGUCCUUUUCUCUCACCAGCUCUCCUUUCAAGCUCAGUACGGUGGCCGCUCACCGGAUCCAAGAAGAAAACCUCUCUUCCGUUUAUGAUUCUUUCUCUUGAGUUCUUGAGGUUUUAUUUGGUUUUUCUUUGAGUUUUUACUCGUUUUUCUCGAUUUCUCGAUUUCGAUGACUCGGAACUAAAUAGGUUCUCUAAUGACAAGUAAGAGCAAGAAAUUUCUAGCACGGAGAAGCUCUCAUGAGAUUGACAGAAGAGAGUGAGCACACGGCGUGAUGGCCGGCAUAAAAUCUAUCCCGUCCUCGCCGCGUGCUCACUCCUCUUUCUGUCACCCUCUUUCUCUCAGGGCUCAACUCCUAUCCAGAUCUAUUAGCAGGCUUACAAAAUCACUAAAUUACUUUGAUUUGGUGUUACUCAAUUUGAUUGUUAUGAUCUAGCCUUUUCCUCCAAAGAAGCACUAGAAACCACCCCUUAUGCUUGGUAGAGAGAAACCUCAUGCUUGGUACAGAGAAAUUCAGCCACAAGAAGACAGAGAACGCAUGCUUGAAGUACUCUGUCUUUUCUCCCACACUUUACCCUGUCACCUCCUUAUCUCUUAGAUGUGCGUAAAAUGCAUAUGUUUACCCCUGUUUUUCUCAAUCUUUUUCAGCCGUGCUGUCGCCGGAACUACUACCGAGGAGAGUGAUACGGAUGCUGGUGAUAAUGUGGUAGUACUACUCCUUGCGUUGGGAGCUGAAGCAUGGAGAUGCUGCCAGUACACUGGAGCACUGUGGUGAUUCAUCAACAGGAUUAACCGGAUCUUCUCUCUCUUUCUUCUUCUACCCCAUCUCUUCUCUUCACUUCUCUCUUUGCUCUCUUGUUUUUCAGCUAAAGCUCCUUGUGCAGGUUGUUGGCCAUGGUGGUGGGGUUCAUCAAGUUAUUGCUUGGUCAAAAAUGGAGCAUGGAAGAGGCUAACAGAUGACCCAUAUUUGGCAUGCAAGGUUGUUUCGCUAUGCGUUUGCCAGAUCUGGCUCGCAUCUUAGAUAAAGGUCAUCAUUCAUGUUUAAUGGCCAGCAAGGCAGCAACUACACCAUUAAUUUCCACAAGGGAUUGGGAUGAGAUAUGAUUCAAGCUGAUGGAUGCUUUACAAAAGUCACUUCAUGUGCUUGACAUGCAUGCGCGUGCAGUCCCAUUCUGAGAGGGCCUCAAUCUUGGCGCGGCUGGAGACGGACACUGUUGAAUAAAUUGGAACUGAUCGAAGGCUCGAAGCACAGAUUAUACUAGUAUACACGAGUUCUAGAUGGAUGCAUGUUGUUAGCCUCCAGAUAUCGUGUUUAUGUUCUUCCUGUCUCUACAAAAUCUUUUCUCUGUAUCCUCCAAUGUACAGUUAUGCUUUUUUAUUUAAUUUGUUUUGAUUUCUGUAUGUAUAAGGAUUGCCUCAUGAUCACAAUAGUGUAUAUGUUGUAUAUAUCUAUCAACAAUGUAUACCAAGUUUUUCCACAUAACCUUAUCUGAAGCAUCCUUUAAUAAUUC
Molecule: small RNA, 1605 nt
Filed under: Oryza sativa Japonica Group (Japanese rice)
Lineage: Eukaryota; Viridiplantae; Streptophyta; Magnoliopsida; Poales; Poaceae
Description: sRNA Os02g0180800
Rfam family: mir-156 microRNA precursor family (bases 340-425)
Source: RNAcentral